This 1120-nucleotide long non-coding RNA is filed under the name Brassica rapa (field mustard). Its description in RNAcentral is "long non-coding RNA (BRAP_LNC004104)". The record is from RNAcentral. Lineage: Eukaryota; Viridiplantae; Streptophyta; Magnoliopsida; Brassicales; Brassicaceae.
GUUUCAGUUCUCAGAUGUAACUGUUGCCUUCCACCACCAUGUUUCAUCAAAGUUUUACAUUACUGUAACAAUCAAAAGGCAUUUCGUCUCUUCAAUUCCCCUCCUUUCUCCUAUAUAUUUCAGAGGCUUCUCCCUCUUGACCCAUACCCAAAAGAGAAGCUGAAAUGAUUGCAUGGCAAAGAAUUGCUAGAUAUUCCGCAACGGCUCCGGCUAUUCUUCCCGGAGGCGAGCUGAAGAAGACCGAAUCUGGAAGGCCCCCUAAUUGGUCUUGAGAUGCUGUUGAUAAGAAGAGGAAGAUAGAAGCUGAUGCUGCCGAUUCAAGAUAAGAACGAUCAGCUUCGAAGCUCUAGGCUUAUCUCUCAGGUACCUUUUCCCACUGAAUACACGUUUGAAUCAUUGACUGACAAAUAAGAAAACGCUUCUGUGUAGUGAUUGUUUUGUGAUGAGUGUUUUGAUUUGAUAAAAUCCGCUUGGUCAGAUCUGUUCAUGAACCAAAGAAAUAAAAAAAAAAACUGAUCGUUCGUUUGUCAAUUGUUACAUUUGCCUUACCAAAACAAAGUUCCAAUUUAUUGUAAAAGUUGCAUGAUUAAGCAAAAAUAUGAACAUAAUUCCUUGAAAUUUCAAGUCAUGUAUCAAAAAGCUGAAGCCUUUGCUGUGCUGAUGGAAUCCUUUAGCUGUUGGAUUAAUUUUUAGAAAACAAUUCGCUUAUGAUUUGGUUUCUAUAUCGUGAUGGGAAUUAUUUGAUGGAGAAUUUGUGUUUCAGUAAGCGAGCUACACGAUAGUUUAAUCUGGUUCUGUGAUGCAGCACUGAUUGUGAACCAUUUUUGACGAACUUCCUUAUUUUGUUUUCAGCUUGGGAGGUUGAAGCUACUAUGGACUUUGUACGUCAUGAGAGCUCCAUUCUUCACCAUGUACACAAGGUGAGUGGGGGAGUUAAUAUGUAUAUCUCUGUUAUUCUACGGUUUCAGUAAUGUUUUGCUUUCAUAAUGAAAAAAUAAAUAACUCAUUGCUUUUCCUUUUCCUAGGAGUUUCUGGAUCUCGACUGAAAAUUUAUAAUAACCAAAAAAACCUUCGUCUGUUUGUGAUCUUCUAACGACUUGACCCUCAUGUAUGGCUGUGC